This 730-nucleotide ribosomal RNA is filed under the name Bacillus cereus. RNAcentral describes it as "bacterial SSU rRNA". It matches the Rfam family "Bacterial small subunit ribosomal RNA", at positions 44 to 754 of the family's 1533-position model. Lineage: Bacteria; Bacillati; Bacillota; Bacilli; Caryophanales; Bacillaceae. The record is from RNAcentral.
GUGCCUAAUACAUGCAAGUCGAGCGAAUGGAUUAAGAGCUUGCUCUUAUGAAGUUAGCGGCGGACGGGUGAGUAACACGUGGGUAACCUGCCCAUAAGACUGGGAUAACUCCGGGAAACCGGGGCUAAUACCGGAUAACAUUUUGAACCGCAUGGUUCGAAAUUGAAAGGCGGCUUCGGCUGUCACUUAUGGAUGGACCCGCGUCGCAUUAGCUAGUUGGUGAGGUAACGGCUCACCAAGGCAACGAUGCGUAGCCGACCUGAGAGGGUGAUCGGCCACACUGGGACUGAGACACGGCCCAGACUCCUACGGGAGGCAGCAGUAGGGAAUCUUCCGCAAUGGACGAAAGUCUGACGGAGCAACGCCGCGUGAGUGAUGAAGGCUUUCGGGUCGUAAAACUCUGUUGUUAGGGAAGAACAAGUGCUAGUUGAAUAAGCUGGCACCUUGACGGUACCUAACCAGAAAGCCACGGCUAACUACGUGCCAGCAGCCGCGGUAAUACGUAGGUGGCAAGCGUUAUCCGGAAUUAUUGGGCGUAAAGCGCGCGCAGGUGGUUUCUUAAGUCUGAUGUGAAAGCCCACGGCUCAACCGUGGAGGGUCAUUGGAAACUGGGAGACUUGAGUGCAGAAGAGGAAAGUGGAAUUCCAUGUGUAGCGGUGAAAUGCGUAGAGAUAUGGAGGAACACCAGUGGCGAAGGCGACUUUCUGGUCUGUAACUGACACUGAGGCGC